UUAACUCAAAUCUGUAUGGAGUUAAAUCGUUUGCGUACGUUUGCCGCUAGGGGCGCUGGUCCAACUGCAUACAAAAUUGGGUUA
RNAcentral lists this microRNA precursor (84 nucleotides) under Bombyx mori (domestic silkworm). Its description in RNAcentral is "mir-2807 microRNA precursor family". It matches the Rfam family "mir-2807 microRNA precursor family". The record is from Rfam by way of RNAcentral. Lineage: Eukaryota; Metazoa; Arthropoda; Insecta; Lepidoptera; Bombycidae.